Long non-coding RNA from Chinchilla lanigera (long-tailed chinchilla), 1664 nucleotides. RefSeq lists it as uncharacterized. The transcript is spliced from 6 exons. Lineage: Eukaryota; Metazoa; Chordata; Mammalia; Rodentia; Chinchillidae. The record is from RefSeq and is a predicted model, not a curated record.
CUGGGGGUGUGCCAUUUCCCAGGACAACAAUAGGCACUGAUCUAUAUCCUAUACUAGGAAGAAAUCCCUAAAAUAUGAGGGAAAAGUCUCCAAAAAUGCCAUACUCGUGACUAAUGGAAAAUUACCAGCUCCUAACUUACCCCAGUGAAGCUGUAAAAGUUAAAAUGUUUGACUCUAAACUCAUGCUGAUUGCCUCAAUUUUAAUUUCUGUUAUCACUGGAGCAAGUUCCCAAGCGUGUCCUGUAUCAAAACUCCUCCUGGAAAAAUCAGGAAAUGCAGAGAGCGGAGCCAGAGUAGGAGUCCUCUGAAAUGAGGUUGUUUGCCAUGUGAGAGAUCUCCGUCCUCUUUCUCCCUUGGAUGAAUUAGAGAGCGAGAAGAACCUGUGUGAGGCUCCUCACUGUGAUGGAUGGAGGAGCCUGAUUUAUUCCCUGUGCAAAGCAGCCUGCCACUGGAGGCUGGAGCGACAGAGCUGACUCUUCGGGUAGGGAGAAAAUGGCCUGGAUCAUUGACAGAGGAGUUGAACCAGGACCUUGUGCUUGCCAAGCAGGCAUUAUGCCGCUGAGCUAUAUUCCCAAUCUCUGAAUGUGCAUUUGGAUGUUGGAUAAAGUAAUCUAUAGUAUGGAAACCAAACAUUAGGGGAACUAAUGGGUCGGAAUCGCUAUGGCACUGGAAACUAGAAAUAUCUUUGUUAAUACCACUGAUCGCACCCUGUAGAACUGAAGCCUGAAGUGGAAGCCAGCAAAUGAGUGCAAUGACAUCUGCCAGUUUCAGCUGUGUGUCUUUCACUCAGUGACACAUAGUAAUACUCUGCAUUGGCAGAAACAAGAAGAAGCUGGCUGAAGACUUGGUCUAAAUGGAUGAUGUCCCCGUUAGGGCACACUAGAGGAACAGACGUACAUACUGUCCUAUACUCUAAGUUAUAAUACAAUAUAAAUGACAUAUAAAAGAUUUACAGGAUUAUAAUGACCCUCUUCAGAGUCAGGGUGGAAGAAUGCAAAAUGAUCUUCUGGGUGCUGAAGAGCUGGAGGAUCCAUUUGGAAGUUGGAGGCCUAGAGCGCACUGCAGAGUCCAGUGUGAGUAAUCAUCAGAAAGCUGGCGUCUGCAUUAGAGGACGGAAGAAUCAGAGCUACAAGCGUAAGGACACUGGAGAUGAAUGUCCAAAGGUGAUAGCAAAGACUGGAGCUCCUCUGAAGAAGCAAACAAGGAGACUUCCUUUUUCUUUCUCUUUUUAUUCCAUCCAGGCCACAAGCCUCUUGGUUGGUGCUACUCACACCUGGUGUGGAUCUUCCCGCCUCAGAUUCAGACUUAGGUGUCAGUCAUCCACAUGCACACCCAGAAUUGUGUUUCACCAAUUUGCUAGUCAUUUCUUAAUCCAUUCAAAUUGACAACUUAAUUAACUAUCACAAUUUACCCUUUGUCAGCUUGACAACUGGACAAUUUCCUUAAACCGUAAUUUAAAUACAAUGGACAAUUUCCUUAAACCAUAAUUUAAAUACAAUGGACAAUUUCCUUAAACCAUAAUUUAAAUACAAUGGACAAUUUCCUUAGACCAUAAUUUAAAUACAGUAGGAAGUUUGUAACCACACUUAACAUAAUACAACCAUCCUGCAUACAACCAGAAACAUUAAUUCCCUCCCCAGAAUAAAAGGCAAUAUUUUUCUUUG